GAUCGACGCGUAGGGACUUCUGUCGUAGGAGAGAUGGCGCCAAAUGUAUGAUGAUUACUGAUUGUAUAUGAUGUUUAUAGCUACUGUAUAUUCAUGCGGUGGGCGUCAUCUCUCUUCGACUGAAGCCCCUCGGAUCGAUU
Molecule: microRNA precursor, 140 nt
Filed under: Fragaria vesca subsp. vesca
Lineage: Eukaryota; Viridiplantae; Streptophyta; Magnoliopsida; Rosales; Rosaceae
Description: Fragaria vesca miR5225 stem-loop (fve-MIR5225)
Rfam family: MIR5225 microRNA precursor family
Source: miRBase by way of RNAcentral